Molecule: ribosomal RNA, 530 nt
Filed under: uncultured bacterium
Lineage: Bacteria
Description: bacterial SSU rRNA
Rfam family: Bacterial small subunit ribosomal RNA
Source: RNAcentral
UGGGGAAUAUUGCACAAUGGGCGGAAGCCUGAUGCAGCGACGCCGCGUGGGGGAUGAAGGCCUUCGGGUUGUAAACUCCUUUCGACAGGGACGAAGCUUUUGUGACGGUACCUGUAUAAGAAGCACCGGCUAACUACGUGCCAGCAGCCGCGGUAAUACGUAGGGUGCGAGCGUUGUCCGGAAUUACUGGGCGUAAAGAGCUCGUAGGUGGUUUGUCGCGUCGUCUGUGAAAUUCCGGGGCUUAACUCCGGGCGUGCAGGCGAUACGGGCUGACUUGAGUGCUGUAGGGGAGACUGGAAUUCCUGGUGUAGCGGUGAAAUGCGCAGAUAUCAGGAGGAACACCGAUGGCGAAGGCAGGUCUCUGGGCAGUAACUGACGCUGAGGAGUGAAAGCAUGGGUAGCGAACAGGAUUAGAUACCCUGGUAGUCCAUGCCGUAAACGGUGGGCGCUAGGUGUAGGGGGCUUCCACGUCUUCUGUGCCGUAGCUAACGCAUUAAGCGCCUCGCCUGGGGAGUACGGCCGCAAGGCUA